Molecule: transfer-messenger RNA, 364 nt
Filed under: Actinomycetota bacterium
Lineage: Bacteria; Bacillati; Actinomycetota
Rfam family: transfer-messenger RNA
About the family: Bacterial tmRNA, also known as 10Sa RNA or SsrA, is named for its dual tRNA and mRNA-like properties.
Source: RNAcentral
GGGGACGACAGGCUUCGACGCAGUCGGCCGUGCGAAGAGUUGCAGGUCGAGGAUGUCGAUGGCCUCGUAAAAAAUCGGCAAAAAACCAAUACGUGCGGACCAUGAGUUCGCCCUCGCUGCCUAGAUAACUUCUAGGACAAUGAGAGUCGGUCCACCCUCGGCCCGUGGGGUGGGGCACCGGCUUCAGAAACGGGCUCACCUGCGAGGGAUGUUCCGACCUCAAGGGGAAAUUCAAUCGGAACUGGUCUACCGGUGUGCUCGUUGGUGCAGCCCCCGGAAGAUGAGAACAAAGCACUAGCUAAGCCUGUAGACGCUUUUCGACACGUGACCGCGGACGCGGGUUCAAUUCCCGCCGUCUCCAUCA